GUGAAGCGGCAAAAGCUCAAAUUUGAAACCCUCGGGAUUGUAAUUUGAAGAUUUGGCAUUGGAGAAAGCUAACCCAAGUUGCUUGGAAUAUACUCAUAAGGGUGACCCCCGUCUGGCUAACCGUUCUCCAUGUAUUGCCUUAUC
Molecule: ribosomal RNA, 144 nt
Filed under: Yarrowia lipolytica
Lineage: Eukaryota; Fungi; Ascomycota; Dipodascomycetes; Dipodascales
Description: partial large subunit ribosomal RNA
Source: RNAcentral